UGGAUUUCUCCCUUAGCGUUUUGCCCAAAUAUUCUGUUCCCCCCAAAAUUUCUCUUUUCUUGUGCAUAUUCAAUUAGCAGAGCAGCUCCACUUCAAUACUACUAUGAUUGGCUGUUUGCAGGGCACAUCCACUUACCUAUCCCUAAUUUUCACACUCGCCGAUCAAAUUGAAAUCACACACUCUUCUCAUCUCCGCCCCAGAUCUACUCGUCAGACAUCUCUCUCUCCCUCCCUCCCCAUAUAUUACCGCACUAUCUCAAUCCUCUUGUAUUAGAGGGGUCGGCUAAGAUUUGGAGUUUGGGAAACAAUUAGGGGCUUUAAAAGGAUUUUUUUAUCCCCACAGCUCACCCUGUUCUUCACAACGCUCCUCAUUUUCGUAGGUAACUUGGGUGGCCAGCUUAUGUUGCUGCAAAUGGCAUCUCUCAAUGCGAUGAGAUUUUUUCUUAGGGGAAACUCGCAACAACUUUUCAUGCUUUCUAUAUGAGGCUUUAAAGGCUGAAGGCUUUGUAGCUUUCAUGGACAAGAGUGACAUACGUGUCGGAGAUGAGGUGUAUUCCACAAUCAAAGAGGGGAUCAAGAACUCUAUGAGAGCCAUAAUUGUAUUUUCUCAGAAUUAUGCUUACUCUACAUGGUGUCUUGAUGAACUUGUUCAGAUCUUGGAACGCAAGAAGAACUCCAGGUAUUUUAUUAUACCUCUUUUUUUUAGGUUGAAAUCCGUGAUAUCAAACACCAGCUAGGAAACUAUGGACUCGCACUAGAAAAGCAUAAAAUGAGGCACAAUGACGAGGUGGAGAAGUGGAGAGAAGCCCUUGCAGAAGCAGAAGUUGGCAAUAUUUUUGGAGAACAUGUAGAGGGAGCACUUUCAUCCAGAACACUGUGAAACUUUUUAGGGAAACACUGGCUGCCAAGUUCCCAGAAUGCCGGCUCCCAGAGCCUUCCUACACUAGCAGGUCCAAGUUCACAAGGCAGUUCUUCAUCAUCAAUGAUGAGACCUAAACCAUCUAACGACAAGGUGAUUCUUUACACAAUUAGUGUUAAUAAUGGCCUAGGUGCAAAUGGAUUGGUAAAGAAAAUUCUGAUGAGUGGGAAUGUCAUAUUUGAAGAGAGGAAUCCAGAACACCUCCUUUGUCCAUGCCGACUCAUCAAACUUUGUGCUAUGGUCCAAAAACGAAUCAGAGCCCCAACUGAUGCUCGAGAGACUGCCCAUCACAGUUCCUACAGUCCAUCCAUUCCUAAGCAGAACUCUGUUGAAGUUGGUCCCUUAACUUACUCAUUCAAGCUUCGAGAAUGAAGACAAAGCAAUAGAAACCUCUGCAACACAACUUAACCAAAAUUCACAAAGUAGCAAUAUGAUUCUGAAGCUUGUUUCUUCGUAUGUAUACCCACAGUUGGUUUACCAUCUGAAUGCACAAAGUAGAAAUUAGCUAUAUUUUAGCAUGACUGCGGGUUAUUUCAAGUUACAUCUGUACGCAGAAAUAUAUGAACCAACUCUCAUAGAAAUGGAAUUUAUAGCUAGCCACAGAUCUCAGGAA
RNA transcript from Daucus carota subsp. sativus, 1532 nucleotides. RefSeq lists it as uncharacterized. The transcript is spliced from 4 exons. NCBI's taxonomy places the organism in Eukaryota, Viridiplantae, Streptophyta, Magnoliopsida, Apiales, Apiaceae. The record is from RefSeq and is a predicted model, not a curated record.